Molecule: ribosomal RNA, 114 nt
Filed under: Acanthosepion pharaonis
Lineage: Eukaryota; Metazoa; Mollusca; Cephalopoda; Sepiida; Sepiidae
Source: RNAcentral
UUACGGCCAUAUCACAUUGAAACACCGUUUUCCGUACGAUCACCGAAAGUAAGCAACGUCGAGCCUGGUCAGUACCUAUAUGGGUGAUCGAUUGGGAAUACCAGGUGCUGUAAG